AUACGGAGGGGGUUAGCGUUGUUCGGAAUUACUGGGCGUAAAGCGUGCGUAGGCGGACUAUUAAGUCAGAGGUGAAAUCCCGGGGCUCAACCCCGGAACUGCCUUUGAUACUGGUAGUCUUGAGGUCGAGAGAGGUGAGUGGAAUUCCUAGUGUAGAGGUGAAAUUCGUAGAUAUUAGGAGGAACACCAGUGGCGAAGGCGGCUCACUGGCUCGAUUCUGACGCUGAGGUACGAAAGUGUGGGGAGCAAACAGGAUUAGAAACCCGAGUAGUCC
RNAcentral lists this ribosomal RNA (274 nucleotides) under uncultured bacterium. RNAcentral's name for it is "partial 16S ribosomal RNA". It matches the Rfam family "Bacterial small subunit ribosomal RNA", at positions 523 to 796 of the family's 1533-position model. The record is from RNAcentral.